CGAGUUGGCCGGGCGGCCGCGGGCCUCGGGGCGACCCGGGGUUCGAGGAAAGUCCGGACUUCACAGAGCAGGGUGAUUGCUAACGGCAAUCCGGGGCAACCCGCGGGACAGUGCCACAGAAAGCAGACCGCCGCCCGCAUGGGCGGUAAGGGUGAAACGGUGCGGUAAGAGCGCACCAGCAUCCCGGGUGACCGGGAUGGCUAGGCAAACCCCACCCGGAGCAAGGCCAAGAAGGCCGCAACCUGGUUGCGGCCGCGCAAGCGUUCGAGGGUUGCUCGCCCGAGCUUGCGGGUAGGCCGCUUGAGGCACCCGGCGACGGCGUGUCCAGAUGGAUGGUCGCCUACCGGCCCUCCGCCGAGGAGGGCCGGUACAGAAUCCGGCUUACAGGCCAGCUCGUCCG
This 400-nucleotide RNase P RNA is filed under the name Mycolicibacterium bacteremicum. RNAcentral describes it as "RNase P RNA component class A". It matches the Rfam family "Bacterial RNase P class A". Rfam says of the family: Ribonuclease P (RNase P) is a ubiquitous endoribonuclease, found in archaea, bacteria and eukarya as well as chloroplasts and mitochondria. Its best characterised activity is the generation of mature 5'-ends of tRNAs by cleaving the 5'-leader elements of precursor-tRNAs. The record is from RNAcentral. Lineage: Bacteria; Bacillati; Actinomycetota; Actinomycetes; Mycobacteriales; Mycobacteriaceae.